CAUCAGGAUGCAGAGUUGCUCUGGCAGCUCCUAACCCUAACAUUAGCAGGGUUAGCCAAUUCUGGUUUGUGUUUUUUUAAGCUAGUUUUUGUCACAUUAAAUACAUAAAACUAGUGAGGAAAGACCGUCGUCGAUGUGCUGGCUUGAAGCGGUUUUGCAAGCGCUUGGUCGAUCGAUUUCAAGUUAUACGAGGCUAAUCAGCGUACAACAAGUUCCGUAAGCAAUCUUCUGAUCGACUUACACGUUCUUGUUAAGGAGUUCGCUCCGACUAUGAUUGCUGAUUAGCUGGAAGGUUGCGAGCCGUUCAGCACGUUGCGAGAUAAUAACUGGAGGCAUUGCGUUUGGCUUAGCUUUUGGAGUCUACAAAGUUGAGCAGCAAUGAUGUCUUCCAACAAAC
RNAcentral lists this non-coding RNA (397 nucleotides) under Trichoplax adhaerens. The record is from RNAcentral. Lineage: Eukaryota; Metazoa; Placozoa; Uniplacotomia; Trichoplacea; Trichoplacidae.